Molecule: small nuclear RNA, 108 nt
Filed under: Papio anubis (olive baboon)
Lineage: Eukaryota; Metazoa; Chordata; Mammalia; Primates; Cercopithecidae
Source: RNAcentral
GUGCUGACUUCGGCAGCAGGUAUACUCAAAUUAGAACGGCACAGAGGAGGUUAGCAUGGCCCCCUGUGCAAGGAAGAUCCGCAGAUCCAUGCAGCAUUCCAUAUUUUU